Molecule: long non-coding RNA, 842 nt
Organism: Eriocheir sinensis (Chinese mitten crab)
Lineage: Eukaryota; Metazoa; Arthropoda; Malacostraca; Decapoda; Varunidae
Exons: 4
Source: RefSeq, a predicted model, not a curated record
UCUUUGCUUGCGUGUUACAGCGGUGCGCGUGUUACAGCGGUGCAUAUUAGUUUAGUCCAUGAUUUUGUUAUGUCCCUUUGAACUCGCCAUUGCUCAUUGCGUUUAUCCCUCUCCUGAUUGUUAUUCCAGAGUGGAAGGAACUGCCUGCACCUCCUUUGUUUCUGCGGUAACGUGCGGGGAGGAAAUUUAAGCCAUUGCUGCCAUCCGGGGUUGUGAGGACUGACCUGAAGGACCUUCCCUCCAUGAUGGUCACGGUGGAAUCCAUCCUGAUAACACAGAUGCUCCUCCCCAUGCUGACUUGGGCAACGAAAGCCACUGCCCCGCCACGGGAGUGAGAGGAACUGACCUGAACAUCGCCUUCCUGCUUGCUGUAGGGAAAGCCUCUGCUGCUGGCCCUGCUGGAGAAAGUCUACCGUCUACGUCAUUGUGCACCGGUACCCAAGACGGCCAGGUAGCUGGGAACACAAGCCACCACAGGAAGUCUGCACCCACGCGGUCAUUCUCCAAAAUGGCGCAUCGAGUCGGUUGUUCCCUGAAUCCCCUGCAAAGCCCUCUCUCUGUGAUGGCCACGGUGGAAUCUAACAUGAUGGCACAGCCGCUGGCGAGUGUUGGAGUCUGACUACUCUCUGGCCCUGAGCUCGAGACUUCAGAUGAAGCCAGACAACCGAAUAUCUCCCCUGCUCCUCCCCGCGGUGCUUGCCUUGCCUUGCCUUGCCGAGUGUACAAGGUUGUGCACAACUAUAGCGACGGAAUGGAUCACAUUAUACACUUGGGUGCCGAUGAACACUGCUAUUACCCGACAUACUGGCCCGUCUCGUUGCUCGCCCCUGACCACUGCAACC